This 512-nucleotide ribosomal RNA is filed under the name uncultured bacterium. RNAcentral describes it as "partial 16S ribosomal RNA". It matches the Rfam family "Bacterial small subunit ribosomal RNA", at positions 28 to 507 of the family's 1533-position model. The record is from RNAcentral.
GAUGAACGCUGGCGGCGUGCCUAAUACAUGCAAGUCGAACGAAACUUCUUUAUCACCGAGUGCUUGCACUCACCGAUAAAGAGUUGAGUGGCGAACGGGUGAGUAACACGUGGGCAACCUGCCCAAAAGAGGGGGAUAACACUUGGAAACAGGUGCUAAUACCGCAUAACCAUAGUUACCGCAUGGUAACUAUGUAAAAGGUGGCUAUACUACCGCUUCUGGAUGGGCCCGCGGCGCAUUAGCUAGUUGGUAGGGUAAAGGCUUACCAAGGCAAUGAUGCGUAGCCGAAUUGAGAGGUUGAUCGGCCACAUUGGGACUGAGACACGGCCCAAACUCCUACGGGAGGCAGCAGUAGGGAAUCUUCCACAAUGGGCGAAAGCCUGAUGGAGCAACGCCGCGUGGGUGAAGAAGGUCUUCGGAUCGUAAAACCCUGUUGUUAGAGAAGAAAGUGCGUGAGAGUAACUGUUCACGUUUCGACGGUAUCUAACCAGAAAGCCACGGCUAACUACGUG